This 277-nucleotide ribosomal RNA is filed under the name uncultured bacterium. Its description in RNAcentral is "partial 16S ribosomal RNA". It matches the Rfam family "Bacterial small subunit ribosomal RNA", at positions 29 to 319 of the family's 1533-position model. The record is from RNAcentral.
AACGAACGCUGGCGGCAGGCCUAAUACAUGCAAGUCGAACGAGUAAGAGCCCGCAAGGGAUUUCUGCUAGUGGCAAACGGGUGCGGAACACGUGGGAAUCUCCCCUUAAGUACGGAACAACAGUUGGAAACGACUGCUAAUACCGUAUAAUAUCUUCGGAUUAAAGAUUUAUCGCUUAAGGAUGAGCCCGCGUCAGAUUAGCUAGUAGGUGAGGUAAUGGCUCUACCUAGGCAACGAUCUGUAGCUGGUCUGAGAGGACGAUCAGCCACACUGGGAC